AUGAAUACAUUCUGAAGGAAUAAGUCCAGGGGUAUGAAUACAUUCUGAAGGAAUAAGUCCAGGGGUAUGAAUACAUUCUGAAGGAAUAAGUCCAGGGGUAUGAAUACAUUCUGUAAGAAUAAGUCCAGGGGUAUGAAUACAUUCUGAAGGCACUGCAGGGAUUCAGACGCAGCCCACACAAAAACAACUGAUCUCUAGUUUAUACUGACAGAUUUUGAUGGGGAUUUAUUUAUUAUGUUACGUAGAUUUACACUGGUGCAUCAAUCUAUGUAUAAACAGUUAUUCAAGAAACAAAGGCAAUUCAUGAUGUUCUUUUCAACUUUAUCAAAACAAGGGAAUCUCCAUCAAACUUUGGCACCUUUUAGUACAAAAAUAAAA
Long non-coding RNA from Oncorhynchus keta (chum salmon), 378 nucleotides. RefSeq lists it as uncharacterized. The transcript is spliced from 2 exons. The record is from RefSeq and is a predicted model, not a curated record. NCBI's taxonomy places the organism in Eukaryota, Metazoa, Chordata, Actinopteri, Salmoniformes, Salmonidae.